This 497-nucleotide ribosomal RNA is filed under the name uncultured bacterium. Its description in RNAcentral is "partial 16S ribosomal RNA". It matches the Rfam family "Bacterial small subunit ribosomal RNA", at positions 28 to 507 of the family's 1533-position model. The record is from RNAcentral.
GAUGAACGCUGGCGGCGUGCCUAAUACAUGCAAGCCGAGCGAACGGACGAGAAGCUUGCUUCUCUGAUGUUAGCGGCGGACGGGUGAGUAACACGUGGAUAACCUACCUAUAAGACUGGGAUAACUUCGGGAAACCGGAGCUAAUACCGGAUGAUAUUUUGAACCGCAUGGUUCAAAACUGAAAGACGGUCUUGCUGUCACUUAUAGAUGGAUCCGCGCUGCAUUAGCUAGUUGGUAAGGUAACGGCUUACCAAGGCAACGAUGCAUAGCAGACCUGAGAGGGUGAUCGGCCACAAUGGAACUGAGACACGGUCGAGACUACUACGGGAGGCAGCAGUAGGGAAUCUUCCGCAAUGGGCGAAAGCCUGACGGAGCAACGCCGCGUGAGUGAUGAUGGUCUUCGGAUCGUAAAACUCUGUUAUUAGGGAAGAACAUAUGUGUAAGUAACUGUGCACAUCUUGCGGGUACCUAAUCAGAAAGCCACGGCUAACUACGUG